Molecule: ribosomal RNA, 818 nt
Filed under: human gut metagenome
Description: bacterial LSU rRNA
Rfam family: Bacterial large subunit ribosomal RNA
Source: RNAcentral
GAAUGGUCCGGCGAGUUAUAGUCACUGGCGAGGUUAAGCAAUUCAGUUGUGGAGCCGAAGGGAAACCGAGUCUUAAUAGGGCGUCGAGUCAGUGGCCAUAGACCUGAAACCGGGUGACCUAUCCAUGAGCAGGUUGAAGUUGGUGUAAAAGCCAAUGGAGGACCGAACCCACGUUCGUUGCAAUGACCGGGGAUGACUUGUGGAUAGCGGAGAAAUUCCAAUCGAACUCGGAGAUAGCUGGUUCUCCCCGAAAUAGCUUUAGGGCUAGCGUUGUGUUAGUUUACCGGAGGUAGAGCACUGAAUUGGCUAAGGGGCGAUGAGCUUACUGAACCUUAUCAAACUUCGAAUGCCGGAUAAAUGGUGCACAGCAGUCAGACAGUGUGAGAUAAGUUUCAUUGUCAAGAGGGAAACAGCCCAGACCCACAGCUAAGGUCCCAAAUGAACGCUAAGUGGAAAACGAUGUGGGGUUGCAAAAACAACCAGGAUGUUGGCUUAGAGGCAGCCACUCAUUAAAAGAGUGCGUAAUAGCUCACUGGUCGAGUGACCCUGCGCGGAAAAUAUAACGGGGCUAAGCGUCCAACCGAAGCUUGGGAUGUCUAAGGACAUGGUAGGGGAGCGUCGUGUAUAGGGAGAAGCAUGAGCGAGAGCACAUGUGGACAGUACACGAGUGAGAAUGCCGGAAUGAGUAGCGAGAAUUAUGUGGGAAUCAUAAUGGCCGAAAAUCUAAGGUUUCUUGGGGAAGGUUCGUCCGCCCAAGGUAAGCCGGGAGCUAAGGCGAGGCCGAAAGGCGUAGUCGAUGCACAUACGGUUGAAAUUCC